Molecule: long non-coding RNA, 983 nt
Organism: Helianthus annuus (common sunflower)
Lineage: Eukaryota; Viridiplantae; Streptophyta; Magnoliopsida; Asterales; Asteraceae
Exons: 2
Source: RefSeq, a predicted model, not a curated record
UAAUCUUUCGUUGCUUUAUUCUCUCUCUUUUCUUUCUUCUUUACACUUAACCACACCAAACCCAUCUUAUCAUCAUCCAAACUCAAAUUCAACAACAAUUUCAAAGUUCAACACAACUAAACAAAAUCCUUAUUAGCUUUCAAAGUUCAAAACAACUCAAAUUCAUCAUCCACCUUAUCAGCUUUCUCAACCAACUAAACAAAAUCCUUCAUCCCCACACAGUUCAACAUAGCCGCAACAGCUCCAGACUCCGUUUGAUCUCCGGCGAAGACUUUUUGGAACAAUACAAAGAUGCUCGAUUGAGACCAGUUUGACCUCCGGCGAAGACUUUUAUGGAUCUCAAAAUCCAGCUUUGAAACAACACAAAGCUGCUCGAUUGAGACCAGUUUGAUCUCCGGCGAAGACUUUUUGGAAGCCAGCAGAUCCGUCAAGAAUUUUCAUGAAAACUAGCUGAACCGGACCAUGAACACCCUUAGCCCGGAAAAAAAAGCAGUAAGUGAUGCUCACCAAGCGCCUUCAAAAUCGAAGGAGGAAGGUCGUCGGAUGAGAACGAAUCCAAGAACGUCAGUGUAGAACUUGACGGAUGUACGAACAGAUCUGCAGAUAAAUGAGACGUGAUUGAGAGAUAGAAGAGGCAACUGCUGCGUUGAAGAUGAUUCUUUCGCGAUGAUCUGAUGAUUAACUGCCUGAUUUGCCAUUAAGCAGAAAGCAAAGGUAAAAGGGUAUUGAUAACUGGAGUGCUGAGUGCAUCCAGAUCUGCUGAAAAGAUCACUUACUUAUAGAAGAGAAUGGUGAGCUGUAGAUAUAUGAUAGAGUACACAUCCUACGUGGCAACGCAUCAUCCGUCGUUUCACAAUUUUACAUGCAGUAGAAAUUUAAAUAAUUCCGACCCACGUGUUUUUAAUAUGCACUUUGUCGUUUGAUUGUUUAUAUUGUAUAUCAGUAGCUAUAUUAUUAUGAGUUCUUUUAUACUUUUACAGUUA